UGCAUGUGCACAGGGCCUGUGUCAGGUAC
This 29-nucleotide non-coding RNA is filed under the name Rattus norvegicus (Norway rat). The record is from RNAcentral. Lineage: Eukaryota; Metazoa; Chordata; Mammalia; Rodentia; Muridae.